CACAUGCAAGUCGAGGGGCAUCAGGAACCUUGCUUGCUUUCUUUGCUGGCGACCGGCGCACGGGUGAGUAACACGUAUCCAACCUGCCCUUUACUCGGGGAUAGCCUUUCGAAAGAAAGAUUAAUACCCGAUAGCAUAAUGAUUCCGCAUGGUUUCAUUAUUAAAGGAUUCCGGUAAAGGAUGGGGAUGCGUUCCAUUAGGUUGUUGGAGAGGUAACGGCCCACCAAGCCUUCGAUGGAUAGGGGUUCUGAGAGGAAGGUCCCCCACAUUGGAACUGAGACACGGUCCAAACUCCUACGGGAGGCAGCAGUGAGGAAUAUUGGUCAAUGGACGCUAGCCUGAACCAGCCAAGUAGCGUGAAGGAUGAAGGCUCUAUGGGUCGUAAACUUCUUUUAUAUAAGAAUAAAGUGCAGUAUGUAUACUGUUUUGUAUGUAUUAUAUGAAUAAGGAUCGGCUAACUCCGUGCCAGCAGCCGCGGUAAUACGGAGGAUCCGAGCGUUAUCCGGAUUUAUUGGGUUUAAAGGGAGCGUAGGUGGACUGGUAAGUCAGUUGUGAAAGUUUGCGGCUCAACCGUAAAAUUGCAGUUGAUACUGUCAGUCUUGAGUACAGUAGAGGUGGGCGGAAUUCGUGGUGUAGCGGUGAAAUGCUUAGAUAUCACGAAGAACUCCGAUUGCGAAGGCAGCUCACUGGACUGCAACUGACACUGAUGCUCGAAAGUGUGGGUAUCAAACAGGAUUAGAUACCCUGGUAGUCCACACAGUAAACGAUGAAUACUCGCUGUUUGCGAUAUACAGUAAGCGGCCAAGCGAAAGCAUUAAGUAUUCCACCUGGGGAGUACGCCGGCAACGGUGAAACUCAAAGGAAUUGACGGGGGCCCGCACAAGCGGAGGAACAUGUGGUUUAAUUCGAUGAUACGCGAGGAACCUUACCCGGGCUUAAAUUGCAGUGGAAUGAUGUGGAAACAUGUCAGUGAGCAAUCACCGCUGUGAAGGUGCUGCAUGGUUGUCGUCAGCUCGUGCCGUGAGGUGUCGGCUUAAGUGCCAUAACGAGCGCAACCCUUAUCUUUAGUUACUAACAGGUUAUGCUGAGGACUCUAGAGAGACUGCCGUCGUAAGAUGUGAGGAGGGUGGGGAUGACGUCAAAUCAGCACGGCCCUUACGUCCGGGGCUACACACGUGUUACAAUGGGGGGUACAGAAGGCAGCUAGCGGGUGACCGUAUGCUAAUCCCAAAAGCCUCUCUCAGUUCGGAUCGAAGUCUGCAACCCGACUUCGUGAAGCUGGAUUCGCUAGUAAUCGCGCAUCAGCCACGGCGCGGUGAAUACGUUCCCGGGCCUUGUACACACCGCCCGUCAAGCCAUGGGAGCCGGGGGUACCUGAAGUACGUAAACGCAAGGAUCGUCCUAGGGUAAAACUGGUGACUGG
Molecule: ribosomal RNA, 1423 nt
Filed under: uncultured organism
Description: 16S ribosomal RNA
Rfam family: Bacterial small subunit ribosomal RNA
Source: RNAcentral